GGAUAACAAUACUAGUAAAAGUUUAACUUAAUACAUGAUAAUAUAUAUUACGGCAUCGUAGAUAUAUCAAAGUGUUAGCGGUAUAGGAUGGACCCGCGUCUGAUUAGCUAGUUGGUGAGAUAACUGCCCACCAAGGCGACGAUCAGUAGCCGACCUGAGAGGGUGAUCGGCCACAUUGGAACUGAGACACGGUCCAAACUCCUACGGGAGGCAGCAGCC
This 219-nucleotide ribosomal RNA is filed under the name uncultured Peptostreptococcus sp. RNAcentral's name for it is "partial 16S ribosomal RNA". It matches the Rfam family "Bacterial small subunit ribosomal RNA", at positions 141 to 355 of the family's 1533-position model. Lineage: Bacteria; Bacillati; Bacillota; Clostridia; Peptostreptococcales; Peptostreptococcaceae. The record is from RNAcentral.